Ursus americanus (American black bear) is the source of this 95-nucleotide small nuclear RNA. The record is from Ensembl. NCBI's taxonomy places the organism in Eukaryota, Metazoa, Chordata, Mammalia, Carnivora, Ursidae.
GUGCUCACUCUGGCAGCACAUAUACUAAAAUUGGAAAAUAGAGGUUAGCAUGGCCCCAGGAUGACACGCAAAUCUGUGAAGCAUUCCAAAAAAAG